RNAcentral lists this ribosomal RNA (716 nucleotides) under Pseudoalteromonas sp. RNAcentral describes it as "bacterial SSU rRNA". It matches the Rfam family "Bacterial small subunit ribosomal RNA", at positions 56 to 768 of the family's 1533-position model. The record is from RNAcentral. Lineage: Bacteria; Pseudomonadati; Pseudomonadota; Gammaproteobacteria; Alteromonadales; Pseudoalteromonadaceae.
UGCAAGUCGAGCGGUACAGAGAGUAGCUUGCUACUUUGCUGACGAGCGGCGGACGGGUGAGUAAUGCUUGGGAACAUGCCUUGAGGUGGGGGACAACAGUUGGAAACGACUGCUAAUACCGCAUAAUGUCUACGGACCAAAGGGGGCUUCGGCUCUCGCCUUUAGAUUGGCCCAAGUGGGAUUAGCUAGUUGGUGAGGUAAUGGCUCACCAAGGCAACGAUCCCUAGCUGGUUUGAGAGGAUGAUCAGCCACACUGGGACUGAGACACGGCCCAGACUCCUACGGGAGGCAGCAGUGGGGAAUAUUGCACAAUGGGCGCAAGCCUGAUGCAGCCAUGCCGCGUGUGUGAAGAAGGCCUUCGGGUUGUAAAGCACUUUCAGUCAGGAGGAAAGGUUAGUAGUUAAUACCUGCUAGCUGUGACGUUACUGACAGAAGAAGCACCGGCUAACUCCGUGCCAGCAGCCGCGGUAAUACGGAGGGUGCGAGCGUUAAUCGGAAUUACUGGGCGUAAAGCGUACGCAGGCGGUUUGUUAAGCGAGAUGUGAAAGCCCCGGGCUCAACCUGGGAACUGCAUUUCGAACUGGCAAACUAGAGUGUGAUAGAGGGUGGUAGAAUUUCAGGUGUAGCGGUGAAAUGCGUAGAGAUCUGAAGGAAUACCGAUGGCGAAGGCAGCCACCUGGGUCAACACUGACGCUCAUGUACGAAAGCGUGGGGAG